AUGUUUGGGAGACGAUCGACCUCAACCGGCUGACUAUGUCGGGUACCUGAACGCACAUCAUCAUCGCACGCGCUGUGUACGUACAUGUACGUUUGUGUGCAUUAUGUACACAUUGUUUUAACUUUUAUAGUCCAACAAAUACGCGGGAAAAUGGCUGAAAGUGAAAGCGACAGCGAUAGCUCUUCAUGCUCUUGGGAAGAUUUUAGCGUCGAUUCAGAAGGAUAUUCUACGGAAAGCAGUUCAUCUAGCGACGAUAAUGACAGCGAUUAUGUCCAAUCUGACGACGAUGAAAUCGUCGUUCGUGGAGUCCAACCGUACAUGUUCGAGCCGCUCCAGGAACCGGGUGCAAAAAUGACGGCGAAGCUGACGGGCAUGACGGGGCGCAGGCAGACGAUGAUCGGCGAGUUCGUCUUCAGAGUACGGAUUGGUGUUCUUGUGGAAACUGCACAGUUAUGGAGUCGGUGGAGAAUUGUCUGUGCUGCAAGGAGGUUCCGACCAUCCAGCAAAAAAUUGAACACACAGGAGUUGAUCCGGACACUCUGAGUUGUUUUACGGACCAUCCAUGGUACGAGGCCACCUGCUUGAAUCCAGGAACACUAGAGACAGCGUACUAUCAGUACAGACAGCAAUACGGUGCACAAGCUGUGAAGGGUGACAGGGCAAGCAAAUACCGACGCAUGUCCCAUCGACAGGUCGUCAGGUGGUGCUGGGGGUUCCUGGGAAGGCAAAACCGUGUACCUUUGCCUUCAUGUGUAAUGAACAAGACACGAGCUGCUUACCCUGGACCAGACGGGAACUACAAAGGUGUUAAAUAUCCAGAUUUAGAUGAAAAGAAGAACAAUCGUGAUUAAAAUUGUAUUCAUCAUUGCUUUUGAAUCCAAAUUUAAAAAUGUUCUUACGGCAGUGUUGCUUAUUGACAUUUUUUGAGGGACCCAAAACUUUUUGUUCCAUAUUUAUUUUUAUAUAACAAUGAAUGUACAUUAACAUAAUUUUAGAGAACCCACAGAAAUUUACGGAAUACUAUUCCAAAAUUGUUCCCGUUUCAAAUAUGAAAGACACAUUAAUAAUUUGUAAAGGUACUAAUUAAAAAAAAAAAUCGUCUGUCUCAUUCGGAAAGAGUCCUCAAUUCUCAAAUACGAAGGUCAAUAUACAGGUAUUGAAUAUUAUAAUGGUUUCCAGCACCAAUAAAUUCCUUUGUCAAUGAUAAAGAUUGAAAACCUUGAAUAUGAUACGGGGCCAUAGGUUGCUAAUAAUCGAUGUGUUAUACAUGGUGAAAUAUAAAUCAUGGAAACGGUUGAGUUCCCAGUACUUCAAUAAAAUUUCUCAUUCGAAUUUGAAGUGCA
Long non-coding RNA from Patiria miniata (bat star), 1343 nucleotides. RefSeq lists it as uncharacterized. The record is from RefSeq and is a predicted model, not a curated record. Lineage: Eukaryota; Metazoa; Echinodermata; Asteroidea; Valvatida; Asterinidae. The transcript has 3 exons.